This 460-nucleotide ribosomal RNA is filed under the name uncultured bacterium. RNAcentral describes it as "partial 16S ribosomal RNA". It matches the Rfam family "Bacterial small subunit ribosomal RNA", at positions 338 to 795 of the family's 1533-position model. The record is from RNAcentral.
CCUACGGGGGGCAGCAGUGAGGAAUAUUGGUCAAUGGGCGGGAGCCUGAACCAGCCAAGUCGCGUGAGGGAAGACGGUCCUAUGGAUUGUAAACCUCUUUAGGCGGGGGGCAAUGCCGGGCACGCGUGCCCGGAGGGAGAGUACCCGCAGAAUAAGCAUCGGCUAACUCCGUCCCAGCAGCCGCGGUAAUACGGAGGAUGCGAGCGUUAUCCGGAUUUUUUGGGUUAAACGGGUGCGUAGGCGGAUUUUUAAGUCAGCGGUAAAAUGUCCGGGCUCAACCCGGGCCGGCCGUUGAAACUGGGGAUCUUGAGUGGGCGAGAAGUAUGCGGAAUGCGUGGUGUAGCGGUGAAAUGCAUAGAUAUCACGCAGAACUCCGAUUGCGAAGGCAGCAUACCGGCGCCCGACUGACGCUGAGGCACGAAAGCGUGGGGAUCGAACAGGAUUAGAUACCCUUGUAGUC